GGGGAGGUCACUCUGAGAUUCGUUUCAUUUCAUUUCCGGGUGUUUUUGUACAGAAGAUGUGACACCCUACAUCACCAUGUUUACCUGGAAGGUGGCUGUAGUGUCCCUGUGUGGAGUAGGUUUUCUGAAGGAGUUACACUUCCUGGGAAUGUUCAGAGACGCGUAUCUGACUUCAGCUACACACAAUCUUACCCAGGACCAGUUGGAGUUUGAGGCCUACCCUGUCUAUGCCUACUCCUACCUCUGUGU
Long non-coding RNA from Haliotis rubra (blacklip abalone), 249 nucleotides. RefSeq lists it as uncharacterized. NCBI's taxonomy places the organism in Eukaryota, Metazoa, Mollusca, Gastropoda, Lepetellida, Haliotidae. The record is from RefSeq and is a predicted model, not a curated record. The transcript is spliced from 3 exons.